GUCCCUGUAGCACAAUGAAUAGCGUGUUGGACUUCUAAUCCAAAGGUCGUGGGUUUGAAUCCCACUUGGGAUG
Molecule: transfer RNA, 73 nt
Filed under: Trichonephila inaurata madagascariensis
Lineage: Eukaryota; Metazoa; Arthropoda; Arachnida; Araneae; Nephilidae
Rfam family: tRNA
About the family: Transfer RNA (tRNA) molecules are approximately 80 nucleotides in length.
Source: Rfam by way of RNAcentral